RNAcentral lists this transfer RNA (139 nucleotides) under Cordyceps militaris CM01. Its description in RNAcentral is "tRNA-Leu (AAG) (tRNA-Leu-AAG-2-1)". It matches the Rfam family "tRNA". From Rfam's summary of the family: Transfer RNA (tRNA) molecules are approximately 80 nucleotides in length. Their secondary structure includes four short double-helical elements and three loops (D, anti-codon, and T loops). The record is from RNAcentral. Lineage: Eukaryota; Fungi; Ascomycota; Sordariomycetes; Hypocreales; Cordycipitaceae.
GGUGAGAUGGCCGAGUUGGUAAGCAGCCCUGAACAACUAGCCCUUGUCAAUCACUAGUGCUAACAACUGUCAUAGGUUAUGGCGCCAGGUUAAGGUCCUGGUGGAGCAAUCCUCAUGGGUUCGAAUCCCAUUCUCAUCA